Molecule: RNA transcript, 10918 nt
Organism: Anthonomus grandis grandis
Lineage: Eukaryota; Metazoa; Arthropoda; Insecta; Coleoptera; Curculionidae
Gene: Prps
Gene name: ribose-phosphate pyrophosphokinase 2
Exons: 3
Source: RefSeq, a predicted model, not a curated record
UUAAAAACGUCAUAUUUUGAUAAUUUUGAAAUAAAUCAUCAACAAAAUUUUCGUGCAAGGCAACAAUGAUAACCCCAAGACACUUUAUGGAUUCUUCUAAAAUAUCAUAAAUCGGUAAAUCAGAAAAUUUGGUGUCAAAACAAUAAGAUGUGUAUUUGAAGUUGAUGUGAAUUAGGAGUAUAAAAAACGUCGAAAACAAUGGCAGAGGAUGAAGGAAUAAUUCCGAAUGAAUUAAAGAAGUCAGUGGUUGUUCCGAUAUAUAAGGGAAAUGACGUGUGUUCUCCAGGCAACUAUCGCCCAAUAUCACUUAUUAGUAAUAUAGCAAAAAUACUUGAAGCUUGUAUACGCAUUAGGUUUUCAAAACACUUACAGAAAAACAACAUUUUAUCUCCCAACCAAUAUGGUUUUAGAGAGGGUAAGUCAACUGAAGAGGCACUAUUUGAGGUAACAAAUCAUAUUUGUAAAACUAUUGAAAAAAAUCAUAAACCGUUAGCUAUAUUUUUAGAUUUGGCUAAAGCCUUCGACUCGGUAUCACACGAUAUUCUACUUGAUAAAUUAGACGACUACGGGAUAAGGGGAUUAAGCUGGACUCUUAUAAAAAAUUAUCUUACUGAAAGAAAGCAAUGUGUUAGGGUGGAGGAUGAGUAUAGUGUUUUUGAAACAAUAAAUUGUGGUGUUCCACAAGGUACUGUACUGGGGCCUCUUCUAUUCACCCUCUAUAUCAAUGAACUUCUUUUUCUUAGUACAUCUGGAAAACUUGUAUCAUACGCGGACGACACUGUUUUGUUGGUAAAGGGUGAUAACUGGGCGAAUGCUGUGGAGAGAGCAACUUCAGAUUUUGCAGUGGUUCGUCGGUGGCUGGAAGAAAAUCGUUUAGCAGUAAAUAUUAAAAAAACAAAAUUUAUGAGUUUUAGCAUUCUCGAUAACCAUCAAAUUAAUACAGAUGUACUAAAAAUACACACAUAUCAGUGCAUAUUAAAGGAGAAGCCAUGUGCUUGCAUGGAAACCUUAAGUAGGACUCCAUGUAUAAAGUAUUUGGGUAUUUUUAUCGAUCAAAAUAUUAAAUGGGAAAAACAUAUAGAAAGUAUUAAUAUAAAAAUUCGUAAACUAAUUUUUAAAUUUUAUCAUCUUAGAAAUUGUAUGCCUCUCCACAUUUUAAAAAUGUUAUAUACAUCCUUGGCUGAAUCAGUCAUUAGAUAUGGAAUAUCAAUAUGGGGAGGAUCAUUUGCCAGUACCAUAAAUAUUUUAAACAUUACUCAAAAAUACCUUUUACGAGUAAUUUUAAGAAAACAUCCCAGAUACUCCUCAAACCGUUUAUACCAAGAAGCGCGCGUUUUUACAAUACAGCAAAUGUAUGCUAAGUCAGUGCUAAUAUUUGUCUAUAAAUAUCCUGAUUUGCGGCGACCGAUAGAGAACUUGGGUUGCUAUACUAGAAGCCAAGCAGUGUAUUCUGUUAGUGUGCCUUUUCUGACAAGAGCGACUACUCAAAGGUUUUUAACAUACUUUGGUCCAAAAUUUUUUAACCUUCUUCCAAGUAGUAUUAGAGAAGUUCGAAAUAUACAUAUGUUUAGUAGAGAAAUAAAUAGGUUGCUUCAUGAAAACUUUGAAGUUUUUGCUACGGUGUUGCGUAGAUAAUUAUUUAUUUGCAAAUUAAAUAUAGGGUAUAUGCAGCUUUAUCAGUAUAUUUGUGGUUAAGAUCUGUUAUUCUGACUAGGGCGAUUUAAAUCAUUAGUUCAUUUAAUCAUUAUUUUGGUUUAUUCUUUGGUUUUAAUAUAGUUAGUAUAUAGUAUAAUAUAGUAUAUGGUAUGUUGGUAUAUUUGGUAUAUAGUAUAUAACUUUAAGUGAAUUGUGAAUUAUAUAUAUUAUCUUCUUAAUUACUUUUGUUUUGUGCACACACAGAUUCUAAUCUAGGUGUACAUCUAUUUAUACUUUUGUGAGUUUUGUAAAAUUAUUGUAAAUUAUUGUAAAUAAAUUUGAUAAAUUUGAUCAUUAGGCCUAAAACAAUAAUAAUUAGUAUUGAAAGAAAAAAAGGAGGACAUUAAAAAGACUAAAACCUUAAAAAGCCACUAACGUUGGCAAAACAGUAAAUAAACAUGCAUUUAAGGUUAGGAUGACUAUACAGUUAUUUAGAACCAAAAAAAUAAAAAAUAAAAAACUGCAAAAUAAUAUCACACCUAUUGGGAAUCGAACCCGCAACAACAAGCUUACAAGUCAGAUACUAUAACCUAUGGGCUACCGGAACACUGAGAAGAAGUUCAAAACAUUUGUUGUUAAGCCAAGGCAUUUUAACACAAUAUUAAACUUAUUUCAGUUGGAAGAAAUUAUGUAAAUAUAAAAUUGAUUAAAUAAGAUUAUUAAAAAUAAGGUUGGGUUCAAAAUUAAAUACGUCGUUAACACAGACAAGAACAGGACUCUUCUUGGCUUUAGUAAUUUCCAUCCUCUCCAGAAGGUCAAGCUUUUUCCCUUUAGGGCAUUCAUGAAGUAUUUCACCUCCGACCUCUGGAGAAAAGUGAUGUGUGGAAGCUAACAGGUGAUUCGCAAACGCUGACUUUGUAUCACGGACGUCUGUAUUUUUAAAUUUCUCAAACAACGCUACAUGUUCUUUAACGCGUGUAGAAAUUUUUCUUCCAGAUUGGCCAAUAUAUACAGCGUCACAAUCCCCACAUUUCAAAGAGUAAACCCCUGAUUUCGAAAAGACAUUUGCCUUGUCUAUCACGCUCACUAACUGUUUUUUUAAAUUAUUCGCGGUUUUGAAAGCGAUUUUGAUAUUAGAAGUCUUAAAAAUUUUAGCUAAAUUUAAUGAAAUUGAGCCGAAAAAGGACAAAGAUCUAAAGGACUUUUUGUCGUCUUUCUCAUGAAGAAGAUUGUAAGUCAACCUGUAUUUAUUUAAGAACUUAAAGUAUAAUUUGUUAAUUAAGUAAAGUAGGAAUCCAUUAUUAAAAGCAAUAUGUUUUAUAAUAUUAAGCUCUUUAGCAAACGCUUCCUUUGACAGGGCGAUGUUAAAAAGUCUGUAAAAGAAAGAAUUGAAAGAGGCAAAUUUGUAUGGAUAGGGAGAAAUAGACGCGUAUUGAAUGACAUUAUCAGUAGUUGUGGGUUUACGAUAUAUUUCAAAUAUUAGUUUAUUAUUGAGUCUUUCUAUAAGGAGGUCUAGGAAUGGCAGUUUACCAUUUUGUUCUUCCUCAAUGGUAAAAGAAAUCUUUGGGUGCAAAGAAUUCACAAAACGAAGAAAAUUUGUCAAGUCUUCUUUCUGGCCAUUCCAGACAAUGAAAAUAUCGUCAACGUACCUCUUAUAUUCAAUGAGAAACUCCCCAAACCUACCCUUAACAAUCCUUUCUUCUAGGUUGUUCAUAAAAAUUUCAUUUAACAGUGGGGAAAGGCAUCAACCCAUAGCCAAUCCACAGACUUGUUUGAAAAUUUUAUUAUUGAAUUGAAAGAAAUUUUGAUUCACAACAAGGCUGAGCAAGUCCAAGAGGUUAUCAACUAUAACUCGACUAAGGGAAGAUUUUAAUAGUAGAGUUCUUACCAGAUCUAUACAUUCUGUAGGGGGAAUGCUAGGAAAAAGAUUUUUUACAUCCAAAGAAAUAAUUGAAUAAACACUCCUAAACUUAGUCACCUCCCUCAAAACUGUGUUUAACCAAGCUGAUAAAUGGUAGCAGGGGGAAUUGAUAAAAGAAACCACUGGUCUUAUGGGAACAUUGUUUUUGUGAAUUUUUGGAAGACCGUAGAGAAUUGGAGUUCUGGAAUUCAUAGGAUACAUCUUUUCUUUCUUAGUGUUAAAGAACUCAAGAGUUAAACUGCACUUGUCCAGCAUUUGCUUAACUUUAGUAAAAUACGAGUUGGUGGGGUCUCUAUUGACUGUAACAAAGUCCUCUGAAUCCAAGAAAUCCAACACUUUCUGAAUGUAAUCAUUCCUCUUUAGAAUAACCAAACAAUUACCCUUGUCUGCUUUUGAUAAUAUUAAAUCGUUACUUUUGAUUUUAUUUUUUAAAGAAGUUAAAUGUUUUUUGUUAAAAUUAGUAUCAUUAAGAUUAUCUGAGCCAAAACUAGAAUUUAAGAAAUUUAUUAUUUUAGCACGUAAAAUGUUCUUAUUUUUAUAUCAGUCGUUUGCAAAACACUCUCCGCCUCCACAGCCAAAGUUUCCCGUGUAUGUAAAUCCACCUUCUUAGAAAGAUUGAACUUAAGAUUUAAGUUAAGCAAAUUCUCUUCCUCUGAAGUAAAAAUAACAUCUAAUAAAUUAAGAAAUCUUUUAUGAAAUUGAAAAUGACAUUGGCCCAACUUUAAUCGGUAUUCUGUAGAAUUAAAAGACUUUAACUUAUUAUGGGCGGCUUUAAGACGACUUAACUUAUUGCUUAACCUGCUAAAAGAGUCUCUAGAAUAAACUACUACCCUAUCUCUGAACGAAUAGAGCGAAACACGUGUAGCUUUAAGUAAAUGUUGUGAGACCGUGACUUUGUGUUUUUCAUUGUUUUUCGUCUGUUGUAUACGUCGGUCUCUUUGUGAAAAAUGGAUGAGAUUUUCUUAUUUAUUAACAGAAAACAUAGAAACUACAGCAAUGUGAUAGAAAGACAUGAAUAUAGCAGUAGAAUCAUGUAACUUUACCUAUACCGAACAGUACAUCAAUAAAAAAAAUAUUUUAUUUUCGAUGGAAAAAAACUGUAUAAUCAUCUUCCUGCAGAUAUCAAAGAGAGUAAUAAUAAAAGGCUCUUUCGAAAAAGUGUAAAAAGAUUGCUUGUUGCAAAUGGCUACUAUGAAAUAGGAGACUUUUCAGCAUAUUUUAAAUGCACUGUGUCCUUUCUUAACAUGUUUUAAUGUUAAAGUUUUAAUAUUUUAUCGAUGUAUAUGUAAAUGUAGGUUUGAAUUUUAAUAUUGUAAUUUGUUUAUUUGUAUUAUAUGUUAAAUCUAGUUUUCUUGUAUAAAGUCUUACUUGUGAAGAAAAGGCACUUUUAACUAAAAACACAGGUUAUAAUUUUGAUUAGUAAAAUACAAAAUAAAUGUCGGACCGCCAAAACUCGACUGACUAAUCCUUGACUGUAACUUGAGUCCCCGCCUCGACCCUUUUUUUGCCAAGUGUGCAUUUUUGAUCUCCAACGGCUAGUGGAAUAUUUUACAGUCGGCCACGCUACUAUCUUCCACGUCCUCGUGGAAGUUUUCCAAGGCAGAUUUUUAAACCUACAUAAUAAAGUUAAUAUUAGAAAUGGGUUACGUUUGUAACCACAAUUAUUUUGGUCACAAUUAUUAACAGUAGAAGAUACAAUAUUUUAACAAACAACUGUGCACAGUAUAUAAAAUAAAAAGGAAUAGAUCGAUCUCUUUUAUUUUUCUCAAGGGUACCUUUUUUUACAAACAACAGAUGAACAGUGAAUAUAAUUUUUAGAGAAAACAGCAUUAAAAUUGUAUUUAAGCUAUUUUCUCUACAAUCUAGCACGUUGGUUUGCUACUUUUCAACUUCUUCAGAUUCUACGUCGGAUUCUGAGCUUACAUUUACCUGAAAGGCCUUUAACUUAUCUAGAGGUACGAUUCCUCUAUACUUUCUCUGCGAUCGAGAGGAACCCUUAAUGUCCUUGACAACAUAACGAUCGUGAUCAAGAACCUCAUCUAUUUUGUAUGGGCCACUAAACUUAGGCUUAAAAGUUUCUUACUUUCGCCUUGGUUGCUCGUAGGAAAAGUUCGAACUAGUACUUGGCUUCCUACUGUAAACUUUUGACCGAAGCCUCGUUGCUUAUCAAAUCUAGCUUUGCGUUUGCGUUGAUUUUGGUCAAUUUUUUCUUUAGCAGCAUUUCGUACUUCUAGCAGGUUUCUUUCGCUACUAGAAUCUAGCACGAUUUCGUUGGCUAGUACUGCGUCUGCCACUCCUCUAGGAGCAUAUCCAAAAAAUACUUCAUAGGGCGAUUUUCCUGUAGUAGAAUUCUUCGUUGAAUUCAGACCCCACCGAACCUUUGAUAUGGCUUCAUCCCAUCUAUCCUCUUCGUCCGUAGAAGCGGAAAGGGAUGCAAUAAUAGUACGAUUAAAUCUCUCGACUUGUCCAUUUGCUCGCGCCGUAGCGGUAGCAUUCAGGACAUGUUUAACACUCAAACCAACGCAAUACUCCCGAAAUUGUUUGCUCAUAAAACAAUUCCCUCUAUCGGAGAUAAUGCGUCGCGGAACACUUUCCAUAACACUUUGCAAGAAAUGUAUAACCGGUCAAGUCUUCGUUGACUGGACGGCUUUCAUAAAAACGAAUUUUGUAAAUGGAUCUACAAUCACAAUAAGAUAAUUAAUUAUUAUUGAAGUUUUAAAAAUCAGCAACCGGGAUUAUGCACAGGUUUUUCGCAAGCAACCCUAUGCCAUAUUGUUUGCAAUAAAAUUAACUUUAAUUUAAUGUAAUGUUUUAUUGCGUAACUCGAUAGGUGCAUAUUACUAUUACGAAUCACCUCCGCGCACCUGGCUGCGUAGUAACUACACAAGAAAAAAGAAGGAAAACCAGUGGAUGCAUAUUUCACAAGUUACGUACUUUCGAUUAGUACACAAUUUAAUGCGUAACAGAAUGAGUGCAAUGUUUAAAAAAAAAAUAAUUUUUAAUUAUUAAUAAUUAAUAUUUUGCACAAGAUUUUUUAGGCAACCUUUGCGGAAUACAUUUUAAGAUAUACUACAUUUUAUGAAAACAUACGUUUCAUCCCGUAACGUUAUGGGUGAAGGUCGUAGUAUGGUGGGAUCCUCUACUAUUAUUGUAGAGACAUGAAAGACAACUAGAAAUAUACUUCUUUGUAUAUCUCCUCAUUCCACCAAAACAGUACGAUUUUGACAUGGCAGACAAUGUCUUCCUAUAGAUAAAUGGCCUCCUGCAUCGUGGAAAUGAAGUAGUGUCUGUCUUCUUACAGAUUUAGGUACAAGCCACUUUUUACCUUGUGGAGUUACUUUGUAUAGCCUGUUGUCAGUCAGACAGUAUUCUUUAUGGAUAUCUUUUUCCUCCUUGUCGGAAGGUGUCCUAUUUAGAACGUCCAACAGAUAUCUACAUCUGUCGUCAGAGUUUUGAGCAGCUAACACCCAAUCUUCGUGAUUAAUAUUUACGACAUGUAGAGUACACUCUACGGGAUUACGUCUUAAAGCGUCUACGUGACUGAUUUGUGUACCCUUUCGAUAUUCGACGUCAAACGAAUAUUCUUGUAGGCUUAGCCACCACCUAGCUAUUCUUGGCACUAAAUCUCUUCUGCUUAGCGAAGCCCUAACGGCACUGCAAUCAGUUAUGACCUUCAAUUGUAUUCCAAUUAGAUAAAUCCGGAAAGCCUUCAAGGUAUACACCACUGCCAUAGUCUCCAAUUCGUAGGAAUGAUAUCUUUGCUCUUCCUUAGUGGUUUGCUUGGAAUAGUACAUCACAGGUUUCAUGGCUCCAUUAAGCUGUUUUUGAAGUAAUAUACCUCCUAUGCCCUGGAUACUAAAAUUGUCUUAAGAGUGUUGAAAGCUCUACUUUGUUCAACAUCCCAGACAAAUUUAGUAUGCUUUUUAGUCAAGAAGUUAGAGGUCUAGCGAUCGUAGCAUAGUACGCACUUCCUAAAAUAUCCUGCCAAUCCCAAAAAUUGACGCACAGUUUUAACAUCUGAGGGAACCGGAAAGUUACUCACUGCUUCAGUUUUUCCUUUUUCUGGCUGAACACCCUCUUUGGAAAUCUCAUGGCCUAAGUACUUCACCCUUUCUUUGAAGAAAUGACAUUUUGACAGCCUCAGAGUAAGACGUUCUAGCAUAAAGUUCCAACCAUAGGACUAUUAGUAGUUUACUAGCUAACUUAAAGGUAUCCAAAAUAGGUACUAAAGGAAGUAAUCUAAAAAAAUUCCAUAUUUGGAAAUAGUUAAGAAUGAAUCUGCGAGUAAUAAAUACUCCUUAUAUUAUCCAAUGAAAAAUGUGUACGAUGCCUUAUAAUAAAACCAAGCAUUUUUGAUGAUAUUGAUUAAAAUAUAGAUUCUUUUGAAAAAUUAGCCCUGUUACUUUGGUUACAUAUUUUAACUGUUACGCAUCAAUACGAGGAGCCUCUUAUAAAAUCUACUAAAACAACACUUUAAUACAUUCAGACUAUUUUUGAAGGUGGUAGACAAUGGUACAGUGAAAACAUCUUGUCGAACUUGCAUUGUCUUAUUUAUUUAAUGUAACACGAGGUUUCGGUUGUUAAGUAUCUCCAACCGUUAUCAAGUGUAAACUGACGAUUGACUGACGAACUGAGUCAGUUUACACUUGAUAACGGUUAGAGAUACUUACCAACCAAAACGUCGUGUUACAUUAAAUAAAUAAGACAAUGCAAGUUCGACAAGAUGUUUUUCACAUUCAGACUAAGCUCGUUAUCCCUACAGCAAUCAGCAAGUCUUGCUGGUUGUUGUAUUUUAGUCUUGCUGCAGAAGUAUCUGAUCCCCUUAACAAUUAGUUAUUUCAUAAGUUUAUAAUUUCAUAAUUUUAAAAGCUCGAUAAAAUACCAACCAUGAGACACCCCUGAUAUAAAAGAUAACAUAUGAAAACUAACAAUCCAACCAAUCAACUCGAUCCUUUGGAAAUUGUGUCAACGUUUAAUGUUCUCCAAGACAUCGAUUAGCCUAUAACUAACCUAACAUCACUUAUCAAGCUAUUAAAGCGUUUUGGAAUAGAAGACUAAAUGCAGACACUUCUGUAGUUUCUGACCAGAUUCUUUGGCCCAUUCUUUAAAACUGGCAUUACAAAACUGUUCUUCCAUCUAUCAGGAAAUACAGAAAUUUUCAAUGACAUACUAAACUAUAUGUGAAGUUGUAUUUGCCAUUGUGCAAAUACAUUCUUUUUGAAAGACAUUCAGUAUACCCUCAGUGAGUGAAUAGUUCUGAGGCAUGUUUUCUGCUAACAUAAAAGAAUUUAAGUUUUUUUGAAUGUACAGAGAACACUGCAGAAUAUAAAUAGACAUAAAUGUAAGCACCUUUAGACUGAAAAAUAGUCGACGAUACGAUUCUUUUAAGCAUUUAAAAAGCAUUAUUUUAUUUUUUUGCGCCAUUGGUACUGCAAUAUUCUGAUGCAAUUACCCUAGGAUGUCAUAAUUUAACCUUGAAUAAAAAUAAGACAUAACAAUUUCUUUGUCAACAACACCUCUCAGUUUCCAAAUAAUGAAGUUAUGAGUAGCUUACCUACUACAAGAUCAAUGUGAUCUGACCAACUUAGCACACUAUCAAUCAUAAUUCCCAGAAGCCUGUUUGGGCUCGCCUGACUUACAUCACCAGUAAACGGCAACAACUGAGUUUUACUCAGAUUUAAUAGAAACUUCUAAUAAUCUUUGCAAAAAUAAAGCACCUGCUUAAUGCAUAAUCUAUGCUAAAGUAUUAAUUGGUCAAUUGGAGUUAAUGGUUAUUAGAGAGUCUAUCCUUGCAUGGGUUUACAGCUUUUUAUCUGGGAGGUUGCUAUGUGUGAGAGUCGGUGGAUCUUUAUCGUUGUGUGAUUGCGGUCACUUCUGGGGUACUGCAAUGCCUCUCCUUGUUGUUUUUGCUCUUUCCUACUAACAUCAGCUAUAUAAUUCGUUCUAAUCAUCUUUAAUUUACAUAUGAUAUUAAACUUCUUAAAGCAAUUUUAUCUAGGCAAGACUCUUACCCUUCAAUUGGAUUUGGACCAUUUGUCUUUGUGGUCUUCAGAUAAUGGUUUGCAUUUGACACUACUAACUAUUGUAUCAAAUAGUUCAGUAGCAUAUUACUCGUAGUAGGAAUUUUCUUGAUUUUGUCUUAAGUGUUCAGCAUCGUGUGGUCACUUGAUUACCAGUGCCAUAUUGAUUUGUUAGAGUUAAUUUUUAAUAUAUUUUUAUGUGUAAUUAAAGUUUUCCCGUUAAUAAAUAAAUAAAUAAAUAAAUAAAUAAGUACAAUGGAAUUUUUGAUAUAAUACAACAGAAUUCAUAUCAUCAGCAUAUAAAAUAUUUGAGCUUAUUCAAAGAGACUGGGUCUUAUUCAAAGAGACUUCUGUCCUAAUACACUUCCCUGGGAAACCCUUCUAACAAUAUCUGCCAAAUCGGAAUGAUAUUCCUGGCUGCCUCUUGAUAAAACCAACCCAAUUUAUUCCAGUAGAAUACUUUUCAGUUCAUAAUUCUCCAGUUUUUUUAAUAAAAUACAACGAUUCACCAACACAAAUGCUUAUGAAUAAUCAAGGAAGAUUCCCAUCGUAAUAAAUUUGUCAUCUAAUCUAAAACUCUUGAAGCGGAGAAGGAUAUCCUGUGUCUAAAAUAGAAAUGCUAGCAGUAACUUAAAAGAUUUGACGAUUUCAAAUCUUCAAUCAAAAUCUACAAACUGCUUAGCAGAAGCGAAUUUCAACCCACGAGCAAAAUCAAAUGUACUAAUUUAUGGUGAUUCUAGUGCCAGAGGUUUCUCUUCUCUUCUCUCAGGUAUUCUGAGCUCGUCAUACAACACCUGUGGUUAUGUGUUUAGUAAUGUUACAGCCCAGACCUUAUGUAAUUAUACGUUUCCGCUAAUUGUUAACUAUACGAAGAAUGAUGUUGUUGUUGUUUGUCUUGAUUUUUCUUGUACAUUGCCAUCUUUUUCCCAAAUAAAAUCCUUGCUAUCAAUGGGCAGGAUAACUAAUGUAAUUGUUUGUAUUAAAUGCGAUUUUAAUAAGUGCUCAAAAAGCAGAUAUUACAAUACAAUUCAUUUUAUGAAUUCUUUUAUCUCUAACCGUAACUUUUCUGUGAGAAUAAUUACUGAGUCAGACAAAAUUUUAAGUACCGUCACUCUGCCAAAUCUAUGUGCAAACUUUUAUCUUUAUAUGUUAAAAUACUUUUCUAUCAUCCAAAUUAGUAUUAGCAUCUUUAGGUAUUAGCAAUAGUCGGAUAAUCAGCGAUACACCCUUGAUCGAAGGUAGGUCUUCGGUUACGCCUCAACUAGACCAAUCUAUAGACACCCUUGCUAUUGGAUCUUCUUUUUUAAUAGAAACUCCCACCAUAAUCAAGUUUCCCUAGCAU